UUGUCCUACGGGAGGCAGCAGUGAGGAAUAUUGGUCAAUGGGCGGGAGCCUGAACCAGCCAAGCCGCGUGUGGGAAGAAGGUACAGCGUAUCGUAAACCUCUUUUGUCAGGGAACAAAGGCGGGGACUAGUCCCCGGAUGAGGGUACCUGAAGAAAAAGCAUCGGCUAACUCCGUGCCAGCAGCCGCGGUAAUACGGAGGAUGCGGGCGUUAUCCGGAUUUAUUGGGGUUAAAGAGUGCGCAGGCGGCCUGUUAAGUCAGCGGGAAAAGCCCGG
This 274-nucleotide ribosomal RNA is filed under the name uncultured bacterium. RNAcentral describes it as "partial 16S ribosomal RNA". It matches the Rfam family "Bacterial small subunit ribosomal RNA", at positions 334 to 605 of the family's 1533-position model. The record is from RNAcentral.